UACGUAGGGUGCGAGCGUUAAUCGGAAUUACUGGGCGUAAAGCGUGCGCAGGCGGCGCGUUAAGACAGGUGUGAAAGCCCCGAGCUUAACUUGGGAAUUGCGCUUGUGACUGGCGUGCUGGAGUGUGGCAGAGGGAGGUGGAAUUCCACGUGUAGCAGUGAAAUGCGUAGAUAUCGAGAGGAACACCUGCGGCGAAGGCGGGUUGCUGGGCUGACACUGACGCUGAGGCGCGAAAGCUAGGGGAGCGAACGGG
Molecule: ribosomal RNA, 253 nt
Filed under: uncultured bacterium
Lineage: Bacteria
Description: partial 16S ribosomal RNA
Rfam family: Bacterial small subunit ribosomal RNA
Source: RNAcentral